UCCAAUGGAUUCAGUGCGACGCGAACACUCACCUCUCCUUUGUCAAGUCGAUGGUGGCAAAAAUCUUAUCGUCUUCACGACCUGAACAAUGGCGGCAUUGUAACGGACGCGACAACCCCGCAGUGACCCGCGGCAUCUCCGCCAGGUGCCUACGGAACAGCCCGCUGUGGUGGAGUGGUCCUCCCUGGCUGUCCGCAAGCGAUAUCGGCCCUCCUACCCUCCCAGACCCAAAUGUCAACGACACCUGCAUGGCGGUGAGCGCUGCACCGGAAGCUCUCGAUAUCGAAGUGGUCGUUCAUCCAGUGUAGGCUACGCAGAACUGGAUGGACCUCUCAGCUUGGAGCACCCUCUCUCGACUUCUCCGCGUUACGGCCUGGUGCGCUAGGUUCGUCCACAAUAGCAGGCCCCGCCAACCGUGUACAACGGGUCCACUCACGUCCGAAGAGCUUCGGCACGCCGAAACCAUAUGGGUCUCACAUGUCCAAACCGAAGCCUUUCGGCACGACAUCUUGGCGCUCAGACACGGCAGCGUUGCUGCGGCAUCUUCGUCGGUACGUGUUUUCCAGCCAUUGCUCGACGCCUCCGGAAUACAGCGCGUCGGCGGUCGUCUUCACCAACUUCAAGAUUCGUACCAGAUCAAGCAUCCCAUCCUCCUACCCCCUAAGCAUCGAUUCACGGAGCUCAUCAUACUCGACGCCCACCAGCGCUUGCUACAGACACCAUCAACACCAUCAGACACGUGCAAGACACCAUCACCGAGGUUCGAAGCACAUUUUGGGUUAUCCGCGGACGGCAAACCACAAGGCGUGCCCUGCGCUCAUGCUUGACCUGCCGCAGACUAAGGGCGCACCUUGAAACAGCCCCAGUGUCACCUCUACCUCGGGAGCGUAUAACGCCGGCAAAUCCGUUCACAGUUGUCGGCGUAGAUUUCGCGGGACCGCUCUAUAUCUCAAGGUCAGCUUCUCCCAAGACCUCAGGGAACGUGACAAGAUGCGCUACAUCACCAUCGGUCUACAAAGCGAGGCAACGAGGACCAGUCUGACUUCCUACUACAUGUCUACUGGAUGUGACUGCCUCACUCUAUCAAGCUGGCACGACCGAUCGUACCUUCUUCUCAAGCACCGUGGAACUGGCGUCAACAAAGAGCAAAGCCAAAGGACUAUAUGGAGUGGGAACAUCAGCGGUCAUGAAGGCUUUUCUUCCACGUCUAAGCCUAAGUAUAGAUAUCGGGAAAACGGGGAGAAAUAUUCUCCUACUUCUACCAAGCGAUUUCAUCCAUCGGAGAAAUUCAACCAUAAAUCAAAAGACCCAAUGGGCAACACCAGACACCUGGACAAAGGCAAGAAAUACAGCUAAUACAGCUAUACUGCUUCAUUAAGACAAGAUAUACCCUCUAGACACCCUGUGGGUCCUCUAAUAGAAAUCCUUGUAAACGACACACCGGUCGACGCACUAGUUGAUACAGGUGCAGAAAUCUCUAUAUUAAGAGCUUUGGGGCAUUGGUAUACCACAGUGGAGUAACAGUGGUCGCCGUCGAUAGCGAGUCUCUGCCGUUCGGCUAAGAUAACCGUGGAAGUGAAACUAGCAAAUACUACAGUUUCUCUUCAGGUCUCUAUCGUCACUAACGUAAUGUAUCCCUUCAUACUUGGUAGCGAGUGGCGCACCUCUGCCAACUUUGGGAUUACUGUUUGGCCUAAUGGAAACGCCUCCAUUCAGUCAUAUCCAGACUUCGACCGGGAGGAAAUCAUCAGCAUGUUUCUGAAGAAAGACAUAAUUCAGGAAUCUUCUCAAACAUCUUCCUCACAAGGUGAUGAAUUAGAACCCAUACAAGAACGGAUCUUCUACAACACCACCACAUCCACGGAUCGAGACGAUGUUCUUCUCUUUUCUGAUUCCAAGGAAUAAACCACGUUCACAUUU
Ornithodoros turicata is the source of this 1920-nucleotide long non-coding RNA. RefSeq lists it as uncharacterized. The transcript has 2 exons. NCBI's taxonomy places the organism in Eukaryota, Metazoa, Arthropoda, Arachnida, Ixodida, Argasidae. The record is from RefSeq and is a predicted model, not a curated record.